Drosophila novamexicana is the source of this 299-nucleotide long non-coding RNA. RefSeq lists it as uncharacterized. NCBI's taxonomy places the organism in Eukaryota, Metazoa, Arthropoda, Insecta, Diptera, Drosophilidae. The record is from RefSeq and is a predicted model, not a curated record. The transcript is spliced from 3 exons.
UGUGUUUCGAUUUGUGUGCUGUCGCGUGAAAAAAAUUCGUUGACAGCCGUGAAAAUCUUCAAAAAUGUGCAAGUUUAUACGCAAAAAGUCUGGCUGAAAUAAGAUAUGAAAAAGUGCGGUUCUGUGUUAUAUUUAAAGUGUUCCAAAACAGAAAAACUUGCUGAGAAGUUGAGCUUUACAGCUGUUGCAAGAUAAUUAAGCAAUUGUCUAGAGAAAUAUUGUUAUAAAUGAAACGGAACUAUAUAUAUAAAUAUGGACGAGCUUAUUCCUGGAAUUUAAAUAUACUACAUAAAGCGGAA